Molecule: ribosomal RNA, 375 nt
Filed under: uncultured organism
Description: partial 16S ribosomal RNA
Rfam family: Bacterial small subunit ribosomal RNA
Source: RNAcentral
GUAGGUGGCAAGCGUUGUCCGGAAUUAUUGGGCGUAAAGCGCGCGCAGGCGGUUCUUUAAGUCUGAUGUGAAAGCCCACGGCUCAACCGUGGAGGGUCAUUGGAAACUGGAGAACUUGAGUACAGAAGAGGAAAGCGGAAUUCCACGUGUAGCGGUGAAAUGCGUAGAGAUGUGGAGGAACACCAGUGGCGAAGGCGGCUUUCUGGUCUGUAACUGACGCUGAGGCGCGAAAGCGUGGGGGAGCAAACAGGAUUAGAUACCCUGGUAGUCCACGCCGUAAACGAUGAGUGCUAAGUGUUAGGGAGUUUCCGCCCCCCCCUUAGUGCUGCAGCUAACGCAUUAAGCACUCCGCCUGGGAGUACGGCCGCAAGGCUG